GACGAACGCUGGCGGCGUGCCUAAUACAUGCAAGUUGAGCGAUGAAGAUUGGUGCUUGCACCAAUUUGAAGAGCAGCGAACGGGUGAGUAACGCGUGGGGAAUCUGCCUUUGAGCGGGGGACAACAUUUGGAAACGAAUGCUAAUACCGCAUAACAACUUUAAACAUAAGUUUUAAGUUUGAAAGAUGCAAUUGCAUCACUCAAAGAUGAUCCCGCGUUGUAUUAGCUAGUUGGUGAGGUAAAGGCUCACCAAGGCGAUGAUACAUAGCCGACCUGAGAGGGGGAUCGGCCACAUUGGGACUGAGACACGGCCCAAACUCCUACGGGAGGCAGCAGUAGGGAAUCUUCGGCAAUGGACGAAAGUCUGACCGAGCAACGCCGCGGGAGUGAAGAAGGUUGUCGGAUCGUAAAACUCUGUUGGUAGAGAAGAACGUUGGUGAGAGUGGAAAGCUCAUCAAGUGACGGUAACUACCCAGAAAGGGACGGCUAACUACGUG
RNAcentral lists this ribosomal RNA (497 nucleotides) under uncultured bacterium. Its description in RNAcentral is "partial 16S ribosomal RNA". It matches the Rfam family "Bacterial small subunit ribosomal RNA", at positions 28 to 507 of the family's 1533-position model. The record is from RNAcentral.